UCCGGGGACUAGAUAUGGUAGGACGUUUCAAGAAAGCUCAAGGAGGAUACACUCAUCUUUUUGUUGCCGUGAUAAGUUCUCCAAAUGGAUAGAAGCUCGAAGAAUCCUAGGCACCAGUUUUUACUACUGCAAACUGAAACAACUAUAAAUAGAAUUCCCGCAUGCAAUUGAUAGUGACCUCUGCAAAUAUUGACCUUAUCAGAAGUGUGAAUGCAUGAACAAAGGUGCUUGUUGGAAAUUUGUUCAAGCAUGGCACAAAAAGCACAGAACAAUUUAUUUCAAGUAGAAAGAGUUAUAUAUUAUGAUACUCUCUCCCUC
This 318-nucleotide long non-coding RNA is filed under the name Setaria viridis. RNAcentral describes it as "long non-coding RNA (SVIR_LNC005957)". The record is from RNAcentral. Lineage: Eukaryota; Viridiplantae; Streptophyta; Magnoliopsida; Poales; Poaceae.